GCCAGGUCAUGUCCAGCCUCUCAUCCACCAGCACCCCCAGCUCCUUCUGAGCAGGGCUGCUCUUUAUCAGUUCAUCCUCCAGCCUUUAUCCAUUUCUGUAUAUGGAUUCUGUAUCUAACAUGUUCUUCUUCAAAUUUCAAUUAGAGAAAAGACAAGAUAAACCUGUGGUUUCCACUCUGAAAAAUCUAUCUGUUAACAGUUAUUCUGGUGUUCAUGCUGUACUUUCUUUGUUAACAUUGCCUAUUGCUUUUAAAUGUUAUUAAAAUGUGUGGCCUGUGCCAGAUGUUAUGUUGAGGCAUUGGAUACAAGCAAGUUUCAGGGACUUGAAUAGCACAUAGGUCCGUGAGAUUUGAUCCCUUGAAGUUUCCAAGUACCCAGCUAGUCACUGUGGAAUGAGAUUACCUCACCAGACCUCGGAGGCCAAACAGCUUACGUCUAAAGUCCGUGAAGAAGGCAAGAAAGAGAACCAUUACCCCCUUGUCCAAUAAACACACAAGUAGUUGGGAUGAACAAUCUCCUGUGGGUGCACAUUAUGCUAGGUUAAUUAUAGUGCUGGGCUUUUUUACAUGAUGAUAAUUAUUAGACAUAUGAAAUCAGAUGAGGUUCAGCUUAUCCUCAGACAAAACUCAAAACAGAGUUGGACAGUUCAGGGUUAGGGCUUUGCAUCUGAAGAGUUCUUAAGUGCAUCACAUGAGAAGUAGCUGUGCUUUUGUACUGCCAUUUUCAAAAGACAAUGUUUGGCACAGGAAACCUAUAUUCUUCACCUGACUUCUUCCUCAAUCAUUUUCUUUGACAAAAUAAGUAAUAUUUAUCUGUAAAUAAAGCUAUUGAAGUGCAAAAAAUUAUCUGGAGGUUCUGAUCCCACACCUUGACAUAACCAUUAGCUUUGGUAUGUCUGCAGCUGAGUGGUAGGUAGGCAUGGGAUGGAGUGGGAGCAAGGCAGGUUAGUGAGAAAGACCUUAGGAUCCCCAUUUUUCCUCAUUCAGGGGAAAAACAUGCAAUUGAGCUGUAGGCACACCAGUGCUGCUGAAUUUAAUAUCCUGCCUGUCUACCUCUGGGCAGCAGCCAGUGUCAGCAGAAAGAGCUUGGGGAAUUCUUACUGCGGGGAGGAAAGGUGGCAGGGGAGCAAGAACAAAUAAAAAAGGAUGUUAGUUCUGGGUUACAGAAAUAUACAAAAUGAUCAGGGUAUAACAACGAUUAAAUCACUUUUUGCUGUAGCUGUUGAUGGCUGUGAUCUGUUGUUACCAGCAGGGACUGUGCCUUCCCAAGACAGAUGGGACUGGGAGACUUGCACAGGGAGGGUACAGAUUUGGUUUCCUCAAGCUGCUUUUACUGCAGAUUCCAAAUGCCAGUGAAUGCCACCAGCCCUACGUAACAAAGUGCAGCUAAGAGGUAAUUUUUACCUGUUAUCUUAAAGGGCUUAAUUCUGCAGUGCUAUAUAAAACCAAACUCCAGCUAUCAGGAAGUACAGCUGUCUUUAUCUGAAUCAGUAGCACUCAUAAGCAACUUACUGCCUCAUUACCAAACCUGAAGCCAGAAAUGUAUUUGCACAGGGACAGAAUGAUCAUGCCCAAUGUCAGGUGAAGGACAUUUACUUUCAUUAUUUUUCCCUUGUCUCUUGUAUUAUUCACAUAUUUCCUCUUCUUUAAUGUCUCUUCUCUUGAUUAUUAAUGUAUGAAGAAUGCUGGCUGCACAGUUCAGAACAUGACAACACCUGAGAAACCCCAAAGAAGCCAAGCAUUGCUAUGUGUUAUUUAUAGGAUUUCAGGCUUCUCUGCAUUUCCCUCAGUUUCUGGGAUUUUAUAAUUAGAGAAAGAAAGACUACCAACUCAGAUUCAGAUGGUGAAGGAAGCUCCAGAGCUCUGUAUUGACCUAUUUAUGCCAGAACUCCUCUUUAAUUGUUAAAACCUCCCUGUUGUAGGGGGUCAGAGGCUUCAUGUAUUAAUGCACAAAGUCAUGGGACUGAGCUGAAUAAUUUAUUAAUUCCUUUUGUGCACCACACCUAGGGCUUUUUUGGAGGAAGGGUAAAAUAUUUAGUGGAUUAAAACAAUGUGUUGGAGUUAUUUAUAUUUGGUACAAGUCUUAUGAGCUGCUCUGGGAGAUGGGGUUGUUUAGCCAGGAGAAAAGAGGCUCAGAGGGGACCUUAUGGCUGUCUAAGGUUUCCUAAAAGGAGAUUAUAAUGAGAUGGGGAUCAGCCUCUUCUCCCAGGUAACAAAUGACAGGACAAAAAGUCUUUUAGUUGUGCCGGGGAAGGUUUAGAUUGGAUAUUAGGAAAAAUUCCUUCACCUAAAGGGUUGCCAUGUGUUGGAACAGGAUGCCCAGGGAAGUGGUUGAUUCACCAACCCUGGGGGUAUUUAAAAUCAUAGACUCAUGGAAUGGUUUGGGCUGGAAGGGACCUUCAAGAUAAUCUAGUUCCAAUGCCCCUUCCACCAGACCAGGUUGCCCAGGGUCCCAUCCAACUUGGCCUUGAAAACUUUCAGGGAUGGGGCACCCAUAAGUCCCCUGAGCAACCUGUUCCAGUGCCUCAGCAUCCUCACAGCAGAGAAUUUCUUUUGUAAAGUGUUUUGAGAUGUUUGUGUGAAUAAUGCUAUGUGGACAGCAUUUAACCUCAGUUUAGAGUCAGGCAAAACACGACAUGUCAGGAUCUUCCAGCUGAACACAUGCACACGGCUCUCCAUCCGUGGCCUGAAGCAGUGACCCUUACAGAGCCAGCACUCUGCUUGGAAGAGCUUUUCCAAAGGCACUUCCCCAUUGUCUGCACCCAGCUGGCCUCUAAAAAUCAUUAUGGCCAUGACUCAUUCAUUUACUACCUGCUGGAAAAGACCAGAGCAACUGACAGAGUACAAUUACUGCUCAGGGUCUGGCUGCUUUUCCUGCUCUUAGUGACCAAAAAAGGUAUUUCCUUAUAGAAUACCUGUAAUCCUACAUUUCUAUUUUGUGUUCAGUAAGAACACAAGAACUCAGCUUUUUACUAGCUCAUAGCGCUACAAAGGUAUUUUUUUUUUUAAUGUAGUUAUUAUCUUUUUAUUUUAGAUCUCAUCAUUAAAAUAGACAGAAGAAUGUAAAAUGUAUAUACAGGGCUAUGAUUGCUGUCUGGUUUGUUUAAAUUAGAGAAACUCUAUAUUUUGAAAUUGUACAUAUAACUUAGAAUGUUUAGAUUAUGAAACUAAAGAUAACUGUAAAAGGAUAUGAAGCUGUAAAAGGAUAUGAAAAGACAAAGAGUGAUUAAAAAAAUACUUCUUAUUAGUCUUCCAUUUUCUUUAAAAUCACAACUUGCUACCUGUUGUGUAAAAUAGUGCCAGGCUUUGUGCUUAGAAAGCCUCUGUAUUUCUGUUCUUGAUUUUUCUUGUAAUGUUUUAAGGUUACUUUUUGUCAAAGAAUUUACUUAUUGAACACAUUCUAACAGCUUUUACUCCUAUGCAGUGCCACAUAAUGUUUACUUAUUUUUCUAUUUGCCUGAAUUUUCUAUUAAGUAAUUACAAAUUAAUUGUAUACUACUUACAGAAACUUGCUGUGUGAUUGCUUGUUACAGUCCUGUAGUAUUGUUACUUUCUUAAUUUGGCUGAUUCUCUUACAAAAAACAAAUAAAAGGUCCUCAAUGAUAAGCUUCAGCGUGAGGACUGAAGGUGUCUUCUGAAGUGCAUCAAAAGUGACAGCAAAUGUCAAAUUAACUUGGAAAGUUGACACUUCACCAGAUAAAGAAACAGUCCACCAACUGGUAUGUGUUAUGAAAUAGGUCAUGAAAUAGGGUAUAGGAGGCCUUCAGUACAGGCUUUUGGAAGUGGUUUCACUCUGUUUUCUUAGCUCAACAUAAUGAUUUUCCUCCUUUUGCUACACAUGCUGCCAGGCCACACUACCCAUCAUCCCAUGAUAUCCAAUUGAUACCUGCUGCAGUUGAUCAACUGGACACCAAUCAAAGAGAAGGGGAAAGAAUUGCCUAAAUGCCACAGUCCAAAAGCAGCACUGAAAUGCAAUCAGUAACUCUAAAAGAUGUGACCCAGCUUUCUUGGCACAGGCAGACAUAAACUCAGUAACUCCAGAUUUUUCACCCUUUUUCCUGCUACAAGGACCUGAAUUCCUUGUUCAUUUUAACAGCCCUUUCUGCCAAUAAAUAUUUGAAUUUUUCUUAGGAUGACUGCAGUUGCUGGCAAUUUUCUGUGUAAGGUCCUGCAGUGGUUUCAGCUAAGGUAGAAUUUCUUCUCAGCAGCUGUUACUGUGCAGUGUACUGAAUUCAAAAUGAGAAUGGUAUAGACAUUACACUGAUGUUUUUAGGGUUUCUUUCAAAGUCCUGUUUAUCCUAAGUGAAGAACUUCCUUGUCUCAUGUUCUGGAAAGGAAGCACGUGAAAGAAACUGGGAGGAAGCAUAGCUGGGACAGGUGACCCAGAUUGACUAGAGAGAUAUUCCAUGCAAUAGAAAGUCAUGCCCAGUGUAGAAACUGGGAGGAGCUGCCCAGAAGGGUGGCUGAUCUGGAUUCAGGAAGGGGGUUCUGAUGCUGCUCAGCAGGUGGUGAACAAUUACAUUAUGCAUCACUUGGCUUUCCCCUUUCUAUUAACAUCAUUAUUGUUGUUGUUGUUGUUGUUGUUGUUGUUGUUAUUAUUAUUAUUAUUAUUUACCAUUGUUAUUAUAUUUCACUUUAUUUUCGUUUUAUUGCACUAUUCUUAUCUCACUCAAGUUGCAUUUUGAGUGUCUUCCCCAUUCCAUCGGGGUUUGUGUUUGUAUUGUCACAAUGAGUUAUGUGAAGAAGGAAAGGCUGUAACUGACAAGCAACAUUGUUCUAACUGUCAGAGUACUUUUACAAUGCUUGUUGGACCCCAAAGGUAAUUUUCAUCCCACUCAAUCUCACAGACAACCAGACCCUUCUUCCUAAGUGAAGACAGCACAAGAAAAUUCUGCAGGACCAUGCUUAGGGGGGCUCACCUGGUCCAUGUAGCCUCCUCUCAGCCCUGGGUCUCUCUCCUACAUCACCAGUAUGAACAGGAGGCAAAGGCUGCCAUGACCCAGCCCUGCAGCACCACCAGGCUCCUAACUUGUGUUCCCAUGAAUGAAGUUUAUGAAAGGAAAAAGAGAUAAUCCUUGAUGUGGUAUCUAAAAUGAGCAGAUCCUUCAGAUCAAUCCCUGCACAAAGAUUUCUCUCUCUCUCUGCCACAAUCUGGAAGAUUAAUGAGGUGAGUAUGCAUGGCUGCUAACUGCCUGUGCAUGCCAGUCCAAGAAUUAAUAAAUGCUUUGCAGUUGUUCAGUCACAAUGAGAAAAUUACAAUCAAUUGGCAUUUUUAAUAAAGAAAUUAAUGGCAUACUUCAGUGAGAUGACACUGAUAAGUGACUGCUUCAGGCACUGAACUGCUCAUCUCUAUUUAUAACUAUAUAGCUGAGGACAGAAAAAAAGGAAGGGGGUGGGAGAGAAAAUAAAUCCCCAAUGAAUUGCUAUUAAUUGCUUCCCAGUGUACUGACUCACCAUAUUCUUCACCAGAAGACAGCUUUUGACAAUUUUAUUAUUUCAGUAUUUAUCUCAUCUCACUGUGUAAAUUCACACUGUGCCCCUGAGCAGAGCACCCUGUCCUGUCUUGGUGGCCAGCAGAGAGAAGGGGCCACCACAGGGACCUGGUGACCUGGAUGGUGUCUGGUACCUGCUUUGAGGUGAGAUAUAUUGCUCCCUAAACUAGCAAGGCAGCCCAGGGUGACUAGCAGAGAUUUAGCUCUGACCUAUUUCAGAUGUUUGUAACUAAGCAAGUGAGUCACACUUGGUACUUUUGUUGCCUUAAUUUCCCAUUGAAAAAGUGACUAUUCCACAUGAUCAAAGACAAGUUGUCUGUGAGACCUUCCAAAGGGAGAGGUGUGCCAUAAUGACUGACAAGAUAUAAGGAGUCACAAGUGCGAGAGAGCUAAAACUGUCUUUGUAUAGACAGGUGUUGCAGUGAGUAUCAGACAGCUCAGGUUGACAAAUUCAGUUCAGCUCACUCAAGAAUCUGUAAACACUGAUAUUGGCCCAAACUUCAUCUGACUCCUUUCACUUCUGUCAGUGAAAUCUUGGAAACGCAUCAAUGUGUUAUUUGAAAACUCUUGGGAGGCUUUACAGUAACUCUAAUUCAAUCCUUAAACAGGAAGUAUAGAAGGAACAGGGUAAAAAAAAUGUUUUUAAACCCAUUAAAGCAUUGGCAAGCAUUGGCAGAGCUCUGAUGGUGUUGAACAGAAAUGAACUGAGUGUGUCUUUGGAGGAAGCAAGUGGGCUUGGCUUGCCUGGCACACUGGCACAUGCAAGAGAGGCAGGAGGGACCGCAUGAAUGCAGGGAAAGAGGCUGUGUUGCUGUCCCACCUGCAAAUGCUGGAGUGUUCUUACACUGUGACAAAGGAUAAACAAGCUGAUACAAGAGCACUAGAAUUUUCUCCUGUGCUUUUCUUUCCCCUAAGCCUGUUUGGGCUCAAAGUCAGAAAUCCUUCUGACAUGCCAUGACCCAUGAGAUGGCAGCUCAAGCUGGUGCAGACCAUACUGAGUUGUGAGAGGUCAGGACUGCCCUGCAGGGCCAGCACCAGAGCCAUGAGCAGAAAUGUGUCAUGGAAAGCUGCAGCCACUGCAGCCACCAGGGAGAGCAGGGGGAGGACACCAACAAGCUGCUUAUGAAGGAUUUCUUGUGGGUCACUUUGCUUGGGGCAUCAUCACUUUGGGAAUCACAGAGUAACUGCCAGAUGGAGCCUAAGGAUUGUGCUGCUGAACACAAGUCAAUGAGGCUGCAGUAUAAAAGCCUCUUUCUGACAAUCAGCACAAAAAUCCACCAGUAAUGGAAAAGAUUUUAUAAUACUGACAAUGAAGCACUACAUUUGCACCAAAUCUCCAGCAGUAGGUAUGACACUGACACAUGCAUUUAGCAUGUUCUGGGGGAUGGGGAGGAUCGAAAGGAUGGAAAGGUGGCUGGAGUAUUUCUUGAAUCCACUUCUCCCCCUGUAUAUCUACAAUUUCAACAAAGCCCAUCUUCUUUUCUACAUUCAUAUAAAUAUUUUCUGCACAAGAAUGUAAACAAAAGUAAAAAAAUUGGAAUCUGGACACAGGUCAGCUCUUUGAGGAAUGCCUGCUUUCUGAAGACAUGCACAUGCACACAGGCUGCAGCUUACAGCCUAUAGCUGUAAGACCACAUCAGACAUGAGGAGUAUAACUUCCCAUGCCAGAGCAAAGAGCAAGCCAGUUAUGUCUUCUAAUGAUAGAAAUACAGUGCAAAGCACCCCAUGCCUUAAACUGCAUCUUUUAGCUGUAUCUACAUAAUGCUUUCAACAAGAUUAGUUGUGUUUUUCCAUUAUUGUAGAGAAUUGUGUGUUGAUAGAGCCCCAUUCCUCUUGCCCUGUUGGCAGUUCCCUAUGCAAAAGCUUUUUCACAUGUCACUAGGAGAUGCUGCCCAGAGAGAGUUCACUGCUGAGCAUCUAUUUUGUGCCUAAUAAAAUGCUGAGGUGUGAAAUGUCUGUCACAGAACAACAGUAUGAUGAAACAGCAUGAAAAAAAUAUCUUCCCAGCCCUCCUGGACAUCUGUAGAGCAACAAAUCUCCUAAUCUCUUCUGAAACCUGUAACCUCAGUCUGCUUGGCAGCACAAAAACCACCACCAGUAUCAGCUGGAACAAAGGCAGAGGACCUGUAGCUCUGCAUCUGGCACAUCUGAUGACAGCCUGGCAGACAGAAAGGUCUUGUCCUCAUGGCUCAGAAUUUUCACUCCAUGUCAAGCUCUUCAUAAUAAAAUCCUUGGAAUCCACCUGCUAAAGCCUUUGGUCUAAGAAGCAUGCUUAUAAAAGCCUCUGACUUUGAGGUCUCCUUUCUGGGACUAAAUCAUAUUAUUUCAUCCUCUGAAGGAAAGCUGAUAUUAGUGGGACUUGGUGGGUACAUUAAAGGACAGAGUUGACCCAGUGGCUUAAGGAAAAAAAUAAAAGAGAUAGGACUCUAAGGUUCAAGUUCAUGUUACUGCUCGACAAACUGAAAGGAGUGAAAUCGUUGCCUUACAAAGAAAAAUAAAACUUAGAACAUUUUUGGCUGCAAGACCUAUAAAUCCACAUCCACAUGUGCAUUCUUCAUAUUGAGGACUUUGUAAUAGUCUGGUAGUCAAUCGAUCCCUCAGUACCUGGUGGCUUGGACAGGCAGGGAGAGAUGAGCCCUUACUCUAAAUUUUUUGUUAGAGAUGGCAGAAGAACCUAUUUGCAACUGCUUGGAACUUUUAUUUUUUACCAUCUUUAAGAAUUGAAGAAAAUCAGGCAGGAUGUGUGGCUCUGGAUGAUUUUCUAGGAGAAACUUUCAUCAAAAGUAAUUCUUCUGGCUCUGAGAAUGGGACUAAGGGAGGAAAAAGCAUUGUUUUGUCCAUGUGGGCCCAGGAGGAACUGACUCUGAUGGGGACUGAGAGGCUCAGCAAUGCAAACUGCUCCAACUGCCAGCUCUGUAACUUUAAAGCCCCAGCAUGUGUGAGCACACUGGGUAAAGAAGUCCUCCCCAUGACUCCAGCUGCUGGUGUAUCACUUCUGACUAAUGAGAGGCAGAAGCAGAAGAGGAAGAAGGCAAGUGGCAGGAGAAGGCAGCAGAGGUGCCACAGAUAAAUGGGGAGGAAGGAUGAAAGGGGAGUGCUAGUCUGUAAGACACUUCUACCAGCACAGGACCCAAGACCUGAUCCUCUACAGUCUGCUACCAGCAAAUACGUGGGAAAGCACUAAUGGAAACAGCACGGCAGUCCUCUCAGGAGAUGGCUCAAACAGCAUGCUAUUGCUAAUGGUUGCUUCAAGUCACCCACUACCAGAAACCUGGAGUAUUAGCCCUCCUGAGAUGACCUGGACAAUAACUUGGACAUGUUCAGCUUUACAUUUUUUUUAAAGGGAACAAAUUAAGUGAGACUACUCUUAAAACACCAAGAUUGCAAAGUCAAGUGCUGAAGAUGGGAAAUGCCUGAGUCCCUUUGUUCUCCUGCUACUCAUGUGAGAGGACAGAGCUGCACAAGAAGUGAGUAUGUGCUCAUUUUUCUGCGGGCACCCUGACUCUUUCAGAGCAGAUGGCCAUUGCUUGGAGCAUGAAAGCUGGUGCAUGGAUGAGGGACUGUGAAGGAUUUCUUCAUCCAGACAUGGAAAAUGUGUCCUGUGUCACACAAGGCAUUACAGAACAGUUUCAGUCUAUGGUUCUUCAUGAAUCACAAAUGUUUUCCUCUGCAAAUAAAAUCAUGAAGAACUGGGUUUUUUUCUGUUGUAAUGUUAUUGAUCAUAUAAAACAAUCCCCAAGUUUUUAGGGGUGAGGUGGAGUUUUCAUGCCAUCAAAGGAGAGAAGAGGCAAAAAACCUCCCAAAUUUUCAGGAAUGCAACUACAUGGGAUGUGGAACAGCAGCAGCAAGUACAGCUGUAGGCCCUAUGGGAAGACAACAAGCAUAAGGAUCAUACUGUUAAAGACUCAUGAGCACUAUUUGCAAAGAGUCCAGAUUAAAGUCAAACCAAGCCAGCUCUGGCAUUGUUCUCUAGCACCAAAUGUUUGGCCUUACAGGCACGUAACUUAGAGAUCUGCAAAAUAAGGUAUGUGGAAAAAACAGAUACAAAUCCAGUAUCCUGUACCCUCCAUCCAAUUGUUUUUUGAAUUCAUGUCAGAUUACAAUGACUGUGAAAUGUUGAUGAUCUCUGUCCAGUGUUGGUAGAGGAAGAGAAAUCAGCUUCAGCUGAAAUUAUGUUUUAUAGCUAAGAGGAAAAGAGCAGUAAGGCACUGAAGACUGCUUUUACCUAGCAGUUGAAAGAGAGCUCUUUCUGCUGAAAAUCAAAAAGCUUUGGUAAGGGAAGGGAAAAAAAGCAUAGCUAUUGGCUCUACUGUUUGGUAAAAUAAAGCACGUUUUCCAAUAUUUUUCUUCCA
Parus major (Great Tit) is the source of this 9843-nucleotide long non-coding RNA. RefSeq lists it as uncharacterized. NCBI's taxonomy places the organism in Eukaryota, Metazoa, Chordata, Aves, Passeriformes, Paridae. The transcript is spliced from 2 exons. The record is from RefSeq and is a predicted model, not a curated record.